RNAcentral lists this ribosomal RNA (910 nucleotides) under Bacillus stercoris. RNAcentral's name for it is "bacterial SSU rRNA". It matches the Rfam family "Bacterial small subunit ribosomal RNA", at positions 56 to 949 of the family's 1533-position model. The record is from RNAcentral. Lineage: Bacteria; Bacillati; Bacillota; Bacilli; Caryophanales; Bacillaceae.
UGCAGUCGAGCGGACAGAUGGGAGCUUGCUCCCUGAUGUUAGCGGCGGACGGGUGAGUAACACGUGGGUAACCUGCCUGUAAGACUGGGAUAACUCCGGGAAACCGGGGCUAAUACCGGAUGCUUGUUUGAACCGCAUGGUUCAAACAUAAAAGGUGGCUUCGGCUACCACUUACAGAUGGACCCGCGGCGCAUUAGCUAGUUGGUGAGGUAAUGGCUCACCAAGGCGACGAUGCGUAGCCGACCUGAGAGGGUGAUCGGCCACACUGGGACUGAGACACGGCCCAGACUCCUACGGGAGGCAGCAGUAGGGAAUCUUCCGCAAUGGACGAAAGUCUGACGGAGCAACGCCGCGUGAGUGAUGAAGGUUUUCGGAUCGUAAAGCUCUGUUGUUAGGGAAGAACAAGUACCGUUCGAAUAGGGCGGUACCUUGACGGUACCUAACCAGAAAGCCACGGCUAACUACGUGCCAGCAGCCGCGGUAAUACGUAGGUGGCAAGCGUUGUCCGGAAUUAUUGGGCGUAAAGGGCUCGCAGGCGGUUCCUUAAGUCUGAUGUGAAAGCCCCCGGCUCAACCGGGGAGGGUCAUUGGAAACUGGGGAGUUGAGUGCAGAAGAAGAGAAUGGAAUUCCACGUGUAGCGGUGAAAUGCGUAAAGAUGUGGAGGAACACCAGUGGCGAAGGCGACUCUCUGGUCUGUAACUGACGCUGAGGAGCGAAAGCGUGGGGAGCGAACAGGAUUAGAUACCCUGGUAGUCCACGCCGUAAACGAUGAGUGCUAAGUGUUAGGGGGUUUCCGCCCCUUAGUGCUGCAGCUAACGCAUUAAGCACUCCGCCUGGGGAGUACGGUCGCAAGACUGAAACUCAAAGGAAUUGACGGGGGCCCGCACAAGCGGUGGAGCAUGUGGUUUAA